Molecule: ribosomal RNA, 497 nt
Filed under: uncultured bacterium
Lineage: Bacteria
Description: partial 16S ribosomal RNA
Rfam family: Bacterial small subunit ribosomal RNA
Source: RNAcentral
GACGAACGCUGGCGGCGUGCCUAAUACAUGCAAGUUGAGCGAUCAAGCUUGGUGCUUGCACCUAUUUUAAUAGCAGCGAACGGGUGAGUAACGCGUGGGUAAUCUGCCUUUGAGCGGGGGACAACAUUUGGAAACGAAUGCUAAUACCGCAUAAUAACUUUAACCAUAUGUUUUAAGUUUGAAAGAUGCAAUUGCAUCACUCAAAGAUGAUCCCGCGUUUUAUUAGCUUGUUUGUGAGGUAAACGCCCACCAAAGCGAUGAUACCUAGCCUACCUGAGAGGGGGGUAGGCCAAAAUGGGAAUGGGAAAAGGCCCAAACUCCUAAGGGGGGCAGCAGGAGGGAAUCCUUGGGAAUGGGCGAAAGGCCGAACGAGGAAAGCCGGGGGGGGGAAGAAGGGUGUUGGAUUGGAAAACUCUGGUGGUAGAGAAGAAAGAUGGGGAGAGGGAAAAGCGCAUCAAGUGACGGUAACUAAUCAGAAAGGGACGGCUAACUACGUG